Molecule: ribosomal RNA, 465 nt
Filed under: uncultured Glomus
Lineage: Eukaryota; Fungi; Glomeromycota; Glomeromycetes; Glomerales; Glomeraceae
Description: SSU rRNA
Rfam family: Eukaryotic small subunit ribosomal RNA
Source: RNAcentral
CUCGUAGUUGAAUUUCGGGGUUAGUAGGUUGGUCAUGCCUCUGGUAUGUACUGGUCUCACUGAUUCCUCCUUCCUGAUGAACCGUAAUGCCAUUAAUUUGGUGUUGCGGGAAUUUGGACUGUUACUUUGAAAAAUUAGAGUGUUUAAAGCAAGCUAACGCUUGAAUACAUUAGCAUGGAAUAAUGAAAUAGGACGUUCGAUCCUAUUUUGUUAGGUUUCUAGGAUUGACGUAAUGAUUAAUAGGGAUAGUUGGGGGCAUUAGUAUUCAAUUGUCAGAGGUGAAAUUCUUGGAUUUAUUGAAGACUAACUACUGCGAAAGCAUUUGCCAAGGAUGUUUUCAUUAAUCAAGAACGAAAGUUAGGGGGAUCGAAGACGAUCAGAUACCGUCGGUAGUCUUAACCAUAAACUAUGCCGACUAGGGAUCGGAUGAUGUUAAUUUUUUAAUGACUCAUUCGGCGCCUUACG